Molecule: long non-coding RNA, 1011 nt
Filed under: Sus scrofa (pig)
Lineage: Eukaryota; Metazoa; Chordata; Mammalia; Artiodactyla; Suidae
Description: lncRNA (ENSSSCG00040005631.1)
Source: RNAcentral
AACCCCCUUUCUCUACUUAGUUUCCACAACAGUGACUAGGAUGUCCACCAAUCUCAAUUUUCCUGGGACUAUUAGUGCUUCAGUUUUAAAACUGUGACAGUCCUGAGCAAACCAGGAUGAGUUAGACACCCUAAUCUUAAAACAUUGGUAGUUAGACCCUGCUGGGCAGGAGACUGGGAGAAUCUUUUCUGGGGAAUCUGAUCAGCCCAAGAGGAAAGACCUGAACAUAUGGAUGGUGGAGGUUCUACAAUGAAGUGGUCCAGUCAGAGCAACCUUGUAGUGCUGCUUCCAGUAAACAAGCACCAUCUGGGUGCGUGGAGUUUCCUGUCCUGUUUUUACAACCCCUUUCUCAUAAGCAGAUAGUGGAGUUCCCUGGUGGCUUAGUGGGUUAAGGAUCUGGCAUUGUUACUGCUGUGGCUAGGGACACUGCUGUGGCAUGAGUUCGAUCCCUGGCUCAGGAACUUCAGCAUCCUGUGGACCUGGCUAAAAAAAAAAACAAGCAAAAAUAAGCAGACAACUACAAAUUAUUAGACACUAUAAGGAAAGACUCUUCACACAAAAGAUAGAGACCAAAAUACUCAAACGAGAUAAACAGCAUGAGGGAUAAGACUGUGAUUUGAAUUGGGAUGAUCAGUCUUUCUCUUGGUUUUCAAAAACUGGAUCUGGGAGAGAGAAUCCUCUUCUCCUCUCUAGCCCCGAUGCUGUUAGAAGGUGAGUCCAGAGCUCCUGGAGGCCCUGUUCUAGGUAAAGGGAAGGCUGCAGUUAGCCAUACUGAGAUGCACAAAUGGGAAAUGGACUCAGCCUAGAGUCUCAAAGGCAUUUAUGCCAAGAUCCAUUAUCUUUAAAGUAUCUUUGCUUUUUCCAGUUUGGUUGUGUGAGUCAAUGAAUUCCAUCAGGUUUUUUGUUUUUUGUUUUUGUUUUUGUUUUUUGCUUUUUUGCUUUUUAGGGCCACACCUGAAGCAUAUGGANACCUACACCACAGCUCAUGGCAACACUGGAUCCUUAACCCAC